RNAcentral lists this ribosomal RNA (559 nucleotides) under Microbacterium paraoxydans. RNAcentral describes it as "bacterial SSU rRNA". It matches the Rfam family "Bacterial small subunit ribosomal RNA", at positions 79 to 650 of the family's 1533-position model. The record is from RNAcentral. Lineage: Bacteria; Bacillati; Actinomycetota; Actinomycetes; Micrococcales; Microbacteriaceae.
CUUGCUCUUGUGGAUCAGUGGCGAACGGGUGAGUAACACGUGAGCAACCUGCCCCUGACUCUGGGAUAAGCGCUGGAAACGGCGUCUAAUACUGGAUAUGUGACGUGACCGCAUGGUCUGCGUUUGGAAAGAUUUUUCGGUUGGGGAUGGGCUCGCGGCCUAUCAGCUUGUUGGUGAGGUAAUGGCUCACCAAGGCGUCGACGGGUAGCCGGCCUGAGAGGGUGACCGGCCACACUGGGACUGAGACACGGCCCAGACUCCUACGGGAGGCAGCAGUGGGGAAUAUUGCACAAUGGGCGAAAGCCUGAUGCAGCAACGCCGCGUGAGGGAUGACGGCCUUCGGGUUGUAAACCUCUUUUAGCAGGGAAGAAGCGAAAGUGACGGUACCUGCAGAAAAAGCGCCGGCUAACUACGUGCCAGCAGCCGCGGUAAUACGUAGGGCGCAAGCGUUAUCCGGAAUUAUUGGGCGUAAAGAGCUCGUAGGCGGUUUGUCGCGUCUGCUGUGAAAUCCCGAGGCUCAACCUCGGGCCUGCAGUGGGUACGGGCAGACUAGAGUGCG